Molecule: ribosomal RNA, 429 nt
Filed under: Bacteroidota bacterium
Lineage: Bacteria; Pseudomonadati; Bacteroidota
Description: Bacteroidetes bacterium partial 16S ribosomal RNA
Rfam family: Bacterial small subunit ribosomal RNA
Source: RNAcentral
UAGGGAAUCUUCGGCAAUGGGGGGAACCCUGACCGAGCAACGCCGCGUGAGUGAAGAAGGUUUUCGGAUCGUAAAGCUCUGUUGUUAAGGAAGAACGAGUGUGAGAAUGGAAAGUUCAUACUGUGACGGUACUUAACCAGAAAGGGACGGCUAACUACGUGCCAGCAGCCGCGGUAAUACGUAGGUCCCGAGCGUUGUCCGGAUUUAUUGGGCGUAAAGCGAGCGCAGGCGGUUAGAUAAGUCUGAAGUUAAAGGCAGUGGCUCAACCAUUGUAGGCUUUGGAAACUGUUUAACUUGAGUGCAGAAGGGGGGAGUGGAAUUCCAUGUGUAGAGGUGAAAUGCGUAGAUAUAUGGAGGAACACCGGUGGCGAAGGCGGCUCUCUGGUCUGUAACUGACGCUGAGGCUCGAAAGCGUGGGGAGCGAACAGG